CCUACGGGUGGCAGCAGUGGGGGAUAUUGGGCAAUGGGCGAAAGCCUGACCCAGCAACGCCGCGUGAAGGAAGAAGGCUUUCGGGUUGUAAACUUCUUUUGACAGGGAAGAGCAGAAGACGGUACCUGUCGAAAAAGCAUCGGCUAACCCCGUGCCAGCAGCCGCGGUAAUACGGAGGAUGCGAGCGUUAUCCGGAUUCAUUGGGUUUAAAGGGUGCGCAGGGGGGAGAUCAAGUCAGCGGUAAAAUGUCGGGGCUAAACCCCGGCCGGCCGUUGAAACUGGUUUUCUAGAGUAGGAGAGGAGUAUGCGGAAUUCGUGGUGUAGCGGUGAAAUGCAUAGAUAUCACGAAGAACUCCGACUGCGAAGGCAGCAUACCGGCUCCAUACUGACGCUGAGGCACGAAAGCGUGGGGAUCGAACAGGAUUAGAUACCCCUGUAGUC
Molecule: ribosomal RNA, 441 nt
Filed under: uncultured bacterium
Lineage: Bacteria
Description: partial 16S ribosomal RNA
Rfam family: Bacterial small subunit ribosomal RNA
Source: RNAcentral